RNAcentral lists this ribosomal RNA (542 nucleotides) under uncultured fungus. Its description in RNAcentral is "eukaryotic LSU rRNA". The stretch from base 166 to 319 matches the Rfam family "5.8S ribosomal RNA". Lineage: Eukaryota; Fungi. The record is from RNAcentral.
GAUCAUUACAAGUUGACCCCGGCCCUCGGGCCGGGAUGUUCACAACCCUUUGUUGUCCGACUCUGUUGCCUCCGGGGCGACCCUGCCUCCGGGCGGGGGCCCCGGGUGGACAUUUCAAACUCUUGCGUAACUUCGCAGUCUGAGUAAAUUUAAUUAAUAAAUUAAAACUUUCAACAACGGAUCACUUGGUUCUGGCAUCGAUGAAGAACGCAGCGAAAUGCGAUAAGUAAUGUGAAUUGCAGGAUUCAGUGAAUCAUCGAAUCUUUGAACGCACAUUGCGCCCCCUGGUAUUCCGGGGGGCAUGCCUGUUCGAGCGUCAUUUCACCACUCAAGCCUCGCUUGGUAUUGGGCGACGCGGUCCGCCGCGCGCCUCAAAUCGACCGGCUGGGUCUUUCGUCCCCUCAGCGUUGUGGAAACUAUUCGCUAAAGGGUGCCGCGGGAGGCCACGCCGUAAAACAACCCCAUUUCUAAGGUUGACCUCGGAUCAGGUAGGGAUACCCGCUGAACUUAAGCAUAUCAAUAAGCGGAGGAAAGGGCGAAUU